Molecule: long non-coding RNA, 375 nt
Filed under: Homo sapiens (human)
Lineage: Eukaryota; Metazoa; Chordata; Mammalia; Primates; Hominidae
Description: non-protein coding lnc-ARL11-2:1
Source: RNAcentral
CUGCCUUUCAAUUCAGUUUUGUGAGAAUAAGAUAUUUGAUGUUGCUGCACAACAUUGCUGGGGAGUCAUCACACCUAAGUUGACAGUGCUGAAGCAGAAACAUGGAAAGAGACCGGCUCUUUGAUGACACUUGAGCUGCGAAACUGACCUGGAAUGACCUCCUUCCAGAUGUAUUGUCAUGAGAGAGAAUAAGACAAUCUCAUUGUUUCAGCCACUUGCAGUGGGUGUUUUAUAACUUGCAGCUGAAAGCAUAGUUACCUCUCUGAGCCUCAGUUUUUUCCUUUAGAAAAUGGCGAUAACACUACUUACCCAGCAGGUCGUAGGAGGAAAUGGUAUAAUACAAUGCCUAACAUAAAGGAACUCAGUAAAUCGUAG